AUAUUUCAAUUUACUCAAAUAAUUAAAAAUAAUAAAUAUUUAUUAUAGAUGAUAUAGAAUGGUCAUCUUGACAACCGUUUUGUAUUAUAUUAAUUAAUUUUUAUUUUUAAUUAGGAGGAAAUUAUAUACUUACAGACACAGUAAUAAUUUACCCAUGUUUACAAAAAAAAAAAAAUACCGAAAUUUCCGUCAAAUUUUUUUUUUACCCAAAAUACUAAAAGGGAAAAUUGAAGCGCUCAUCACUUUCACUUUCAUCAAAAAGUGAAACCUCUUUCUCAUUCAUCAGUAAAAAAAAAAGUGAAACCUUCAUCAAACCUCCAUAGCAAAUCCUUCAUCAGCCGCUUAUUGCACUGCCGCUCCACGUCUGCAGUACCGCACCAGUUUGCUAAGCCACCAAUAAAUUGAGCAGGAUAGCAAUUAUCAAUUAUCAUUGCUGUGAAGUCAACUGAUAAACAGUCAACAACCGUGGUUCUUUCCUUGACUAUGUCUGUAGACAAAUCUCAGACAAUUAAACAAAAGAACAAUAUAAAUGGAGGAAGGGGUGAUAGAAGAAGUUCUAAAGUUCCACUGAGGGCAAAAUUUGAUCCAUUUUCGUUGAAAGUUGGCUUGACAAACUUCAGUCUCACAAGUGGAGGAAGCAAUGUUUUUGAUAUGAAACCGGUAUCUCUAUUGUGAGAUUGCUAAAAAAAUUUCUGAGGCAUGCACUGACAGAAACUAUUAUGCACAUGGCUGUUAUGUGUAUUAUGAACAGCCUUUUUGGAUAGUAUCUGUUCUUAUAACUUAGAUUAAAAAAAGGAUAUGCUUAUUUAUAUUUAAUUAGAUGAAUUUAUUGUACAUUAUUAACUAAUAUGUAUGUAUUUUACAUUGUUUUGUAGUAUUUUAAGCAAUUUCCUCCUACAUAUUCUCAACAAAUGAUCGAUGAGCUUAGGGAAAGGUGGAUUUUAUAGUUACCGGAUACCAUCAACCAAAUGACGACAACCACGACGAUUUAUGUGAAUUGUAGAUCAAUAUGGUAUUGGUAUAUCUAAGCAUAAUUUAUUUUUUUCAAUCAACAUUAACUAGAAAGGUGUUUUGAUAUUUAACUCACGUAUUUGUUUGUAUAGUACAAAUUUUGUAUGAAUGAUUCAAUUUAAUUAUGGUUCGAUGUUUUAAAUUAUAUAUAUGAAGUAUAUUUUGAUGGCUUUCGUCAUA
Long non-coding RNA from Chenopodium quinoa (quinoa), 1191 nucleotides. RefSeq lists it as uncharacterized. The transcript has 3 exons. Lineage: Eukaryota; Viridiplantae; Streptophyta; Magnoliopsida; Caryophyllales; Amaranthaceae. The record is from RefSeq and is a predicted model, not a curated record.